GACGAACGCUGGCGGCGUGCCUAAUACAUGCAAGUCGAACGAGUGGCGGACGGGUGCGUAACACGUGGGAACCUACCCAUCAGAGGGGGAUAACACUUGGAAACAGGUGCUAAUACCGCAUAUUGAUGGAUGGACCCGCGGUGCAUUAGCGAGUUGGUGAGGUAACGGCUCACCUAGGCGACGGUCCCUAGCGGGGCUGAGAGGAUGACCAGCCACACGGGAACUGAGACACGGGCCAGACUCCUACGGGAGGCAGCAGUGGGGAAUAUUGCACAAUGGGCGCAAGCCUGAUGCAGCCAUGCCGCGUGUAUGAAGAAGGCCUUCGGGUUGUAAAGUACUUGCAGCGAGGAGGCGUUACUCGCAGAAGAAGCACCGGCUAACUCCGUGCCAGCCGCCGCGGUAAUUC
This 406-nucleotide ribosomal RNA is filed under the name uncultured bacterium. Its description in RNAcentral is "partial 16S ribosomal RNA". It matches the Rfam family "Bacterial small subunit ribosomal RNA", at positions 28 to 526 of the family's 1533-position model. The record is from RNAcentral.